Molecule: ribosomal RNA, 383 nt
Filed under: uncultured fungus
Lineage: Eukaryota; Fungi
Description: eukaryotic LSU rRNA
Rfam family: 5.8S ribosomal RNA (bases 1-126)
Source: RNAcentral
UGCAUCGAUGAAGAACGCAGCGAAAUGCGAUAAGUAAUGUGAAUUGCAGAAUUCAGUGAAUCAUCGAAUCUUUGAACGCACCUUGCACUCCUUGGUAUUCCGAGGAGUAUGCCUGUUUGAGUGUCAUGGUAUUCUCAACCUCUAAAGCUUUUGCGAUAGAGGCUUGGAUGUGGAGGUCGUGUUGGCGCAAGUCAACUCCUCUGAAAUGCAUUAGUGUGAAUCUUACGGAUCGCCUCCAGUGUGAUAAGUAUCUACGCUGUGGUGUUGAAGUAUAUAGGCAUUCAUGCUUCUAAUCGUCUCUUCAUUGAGACAAUUACUUGACAAUCUGACCUCAAAUCAGGUAGGACUACCCGCUGAAUUUAAGCAUAUCAAUAAGCGGAGGA